This 419-nucleotide ribosomal RNA is filed under the name uncultured bacterium. RNAcentral describes it as "bacterial SSU rRNA". It matches the Rfam family "Bacterial small subunit ribosomal RNA", at positions 355 to 774 of the family's 1533-position model. The record is from RNAcentral.
UGGGGAAUAUUGCGCAAUGGCCGAAAGGCUGACGCAGCGACGCCGCGUGGGGGAUGAUGCAUUUCGGUGUGUAAACCCCUGUUGCCCGGGACGAACAAGCAGAUUUUUCUGCUCUGACGGUACCGGGUGAGGAAGCACCGGCUAACUCCGUGCCAGCAGCCGCGGUAAUACGGAGGGUGCGAGCGUGGUCCGGAAUCACUGGGCGUAAAGGGCGCGUAGGCGGUCUGCUAAGCGUGCGGUGAAAGCCCGGGGCUCAACCCCGGGUCGGCCGUGCGAACUGGUGGACUAGAGCACUGUAGAGGCAGGUGGAAUUCCGGGUGUAGCGGUGGAAUGCGUAGAGAUCCGGAAGAACACCGGUGGCGAAGGCGGCCUGCUGGGCAGUAGCUGACGCUGAGGCGCGACAGCGUGGGGAGCAAACA